GCGACGACGUCGGCAGAGCACCAGUCAGCAGCAGCAGCAGCAGCAGCAGCGACGAGGACGACCUGCCGGCCGACGGCGGCUACAUUGUGCCGCCCUCCGAUGCGGCCCUGCCGACGGACCGGACGGGAAGAACGUGUGCUUAAAGAAGGAGAAAAAGAGAAAGAAGAUCGUUUGCAGUGACGACCCGCUGCCGCCGCUGCCCAGCUCGCCUCUGGUUGCAAACCCGCCGCACGGACUCCUGUAGUGCGAUCCGUCUCCUGCUGCCGGCGCUGCCGCAAGGCCGCAGGACUGAGCACAUCAUGAUGCCUCACAUUAUGACAACCCUCGCCGGUCCCCGGCUGGCCAUGGGGGAG
Pollicipes pollicipes is the source of this 353-nucleotide long non-coding RNA. RefSeq lists it as uncharacterized. The transcript is spliced from 3 exons. NCBI's taxonomy places the organism in Eukaryota, Metazoa, Arthropoda, Thecostraca, Pollicipedomorpha, Pollicipedidae. The record is from RefSeq and is a predicted model, not a curated record.